UAACAAAAUAAAAGCAAGGAAACAUAGU
Molecule: non-coding RNA, 28 nt
Filed under: Mus musculus (house mouse)
Lineage: Eukaryota; Metazoa; Chordata; Mammalia; Rodentia; Muridae
Source: RNAcentral